UGCGUAGGUGGGCAAGUAAGUCAGUGGUGAAAUCUCCGGGCUUAACCCGGAAACUGCCAUUGAUACUAUUUGUCUUGAAUACUGUGGAGGUCAGCGGAAUAUGUCAUGUAGCGGUGAAAUGCUUAGAUAUGACAUAGAACACCAAUUGCGAAGGCAGCUGGCUACACAAAUAUUGACACUGAGGCACGAAAGCGUGGGGAUCAAACA
Molecule: ribosomal RNA, 207 nt
Filed under: uncultured bacterium
Lineage: Bacteria
Description: partial 16S ribosomal RNA
Rfam family: Bacterial small subunit ribosomal RNA
Source: RNAcentral